This 360-nucleotide ribosomal RNA is filed under the name uncultured bacterium. RNAcentral describes it as "bacterial SSU rRNA". It matches the Rfam family "Bacterial small subunit ribosomal RNA", at positions 30 to 406 of the family's 1533-position model. The record is from RNAcentral.
AUUGAACGCUGGCGGCAGGCCUAACACAUGCAAGUCGAGCGGGGGUAGCAAUACCCUAGCGGCGAACGGGUGAGGAAUGCUUGGGAAUCUGCCUGGUAGUGGGGGAUAACGUUCCGAAAGGAACGCUAAUACCGCAUACGUCCUACGGGAGAAAGGGGGGAUCUUCGGACCUCUCGCUAUCAGAUGAGCCCAAGCCGGAUUAGCUAGUUGGUGGGUAAAGGCCCACCAAGGCGACGAUCCGUAGCUGGUCUGAGAGGAUGAUCAGCCACACUGGAACUGAGACACGGUCCAGACUCCUACGGGAGGCAGCAGUGGGAAUAUGGACAUGGCGAAAGCCUGAUCCAGCCAUGCCGCGUGUGU